CCUACGGGAGGCAGCAGUGGGGGAUAUUGGACAAUGGGGGAAACCCUGAUCCAGCGACGCCGCGUGAGUGAAGAAGUAUUUCGGUAUGUAAAGCUCUGUCAGCAGGGAAGAAAAUGACGGUACCUGAGUAAGAAGCCCCGGCUAACUACGUGCCAGCAGCCGCGGUAAUACGUAGGGGGCAAGCGUUAUCCGGAUUUACUGGGUGUAAAGGGAGCGUAGACGGCAGUGCAAGUCUGGAGUGAAAGGCGGGGGCUCAACCCCCGGACUGCUCUGGAAACUGUACGGCUGGAGUGCAGGAGAGGUAAGUGGAAUUCCUAGUGUAGCGGUGAAAUGCGUAGAUAUUAGGAGGAACACCAGUGGCGAAGGCGGCUUACUGGACUGUAACUGACGUUGAGGCUCGAAAGCGUGGGGAGCAAACAGGAUUAGAUACCCGGGUAGUC
Molecule: ribosomal RNA, 440 nt
Filed under: uncultured bacterium
Lineage: Bacteria
Description: partial 16S ribosomal RNA
Rfam family: Bacterial small subunit ribosomal RNA
Source: RNAcentral